This 1938-nucleotide unclassified non-coding RNA is filed under the name Leishmania donovani. RNAcentral's name for it is "gene:LdHU3.27.0800(CDS-product:hypothetical_prote in_conserved)". The record is from RNAcentral. Lineage: Eukaryota; Euglenozoa; Kinetoplastea; Trypanosomatida; Trypanosomatidae.
UCCUCACCUCUCUUUGUUAACGGUGCCACGUUUCUGGUGACGUAGAGGAGGUGAGGCAGCCAACGCUGCUACGGGCCACGUUACACACACACCAAUAUUCUGUUGCACUCACCUCAUACACCCACGCUCACACGCAGACUCAGCACUCGCGCUCCGAGUGUUAUUUCGACAUUGUGCACUGCUACUGGAUCCCAUUUCUUUUCUAUCCCUAAAAAGAACACGACCGUCCUCUGCGCGAAGCCCGUGCCUCUCUCUGUAUAUCUCUCCAAGGCGGCCUUCUCGAACCCCCACCGUGGGCGUGCCUCCGCCCCGCAUUCUACCGAGUGAGUCUCUCGUGGUUUCUGUGCCAGAGUUCUUGCCUCGUUCUUCUAGCGAGUCGAUGCCGCCAUAUUUCCUUCGGGGCUCUGUUGGCUCCACUCACCCACCUUCGCCGCCGCCUUCCUGGUUCAUUGCCGUCCAGCCACAGCCGAGCAAUGGGUCGAUCGGAGAGGCGAACAUGUCCUCGAUUCUGAAGGAGCUCCCGUCGGAGGUUUUGAUACCGACGUUCCUCCUCUUGGUGAUGUCCAGUGUUAUGGUGACGGCCGUGAACGCCGUCUUCAAUAUAUUUGCUCAUCAGGAUCGCAUGGUGAUGGAGACCUUCCAGCAGUGGCGCCGCGUGCUGUGGAUGAGCAAGGCGGCUCACAUUGUGGAGGCGCCAUCUGCCGAGCAGGCGCACCGCAUGACGCAGACGCACCAUGUGGCUGCCGUGACGGCGAGAAGCACCACCCCUGUGAUGUCGCCCGUGGAGCUGUACAACAGCGCCGCCUUCUUCCGCGGGAUUGCCGCGCCCACCGGUGCGGCGGCACCUUCGACCGGUGCCUCGGCAUCUUCUGCGACGGACGUCAUCUUAGUUGGUGUGGCGAGCGGUUGCUCAGCAACACCUUUGCCGAGCGCGACGUCAACGACGCCGUACACCGGCGAUGCGGACGUAAUCGCGGAAGCGGAGGUGUACCAUGAAGAGAACCCACCUGCGGCGGUGCCUGCGCCUGUCGUUGCGGAGGCCCUGACGAACACCAUGGAGGCAGUGCGGCGAGAGAGCCAGCGUGUCAUCUUCGAGUUUCACCCAUAUUACAUUAUCCUCUGCGCCGCCAAGGAGUUCACGAUGCUCAUUUAUAUUCAGUACCACUUUGGCGGAAUCCACGGCGGCUGGCGCCGCUUUUGCGUCUGCGGCGCGGCGAACAUCUUCUCCGGCCUUCUUACCUCUGUCUGGGAGUACGCCAUGAUGGCGCUCCUUCCUCUGGACCUCGACCGCGCCACGCCGGUGGUGGUGAAGGAAGAAGAGAAAGCGGACUCCGUCUUUAUCGUGGAGCUGCUGUUGCGCAUCAGCACCCUUGAGCUGAAUGACUUGCCGACGGUUCUGAUGCAAGGCACCACCUUUGUGGCGUUCGCCGCGGUGCUGGUGCCGCUCCUGGGCACCUUCUGCUCGUCGGGUCUUGUCCGGUACGUGUGGAUUUAUGUGCCCCUCUGGCUCGUCUACUUGGUCGUGCGCCAUAUCUACUACCAAGGCGCCGGCUCCCUUCCCUCCCCCAGGGCGCGCAACGCAGCGGCCGUCGUGGGCAUGACGAACGAGAUGCUGAAGGCGUUCUUGAUGAAGGCGCUGACGGUAUUUGUGCUACUCUUCACGAUGCAGUCCAGCUUCUUGUUAGGUCUGGCGUGGGCGGAGGGGGCGACGUACGAUGAGGGGCUGCAGUACAUGGCGCUCCACGAGUUCGGCUUCCACGCAGGCGCCUUUGCCUCCUCUUUUCAGAAGGUGUGUUUGCUGAGCCAAUUAUUCCUGUGAGUUUGUGCGUGUGCGUCGACCCCGUCGGGCAGACUCCACCGCGCGCACGCCGUGUUCCUCCUCUUUUCAAGUUUUCCUUUCGGACGCGUUUAUCGUAGUACGCCAAUGGCUGCGCAACG